GCGGGGUUGGAAUUGGAAGAAGCCUUCUGUUAAAUCGUCGGAAACGGCUUCAUUGUUGUCCACAUCGGAGAGUUCGUCGGUGUCGUCGGAGUUUUCAUCAGAAGCAAUUGAAACUUUGUACGGAAGUAUGAAUGUGAAGUUGUUUGCAUAUUGCUAAUCCGAGUCCUGUGCCUCCAUACUUUCGAGCGUGAUCUGCACUGACUUGCAUGUAUCUUUUGAAUAAAGUAGCUGCUGUUUGAAGUACAUGCUUUACUACCUCUCUCGGCCGGAAUUUCGUGGCUUCCAAUUUCAUAGCUCCUGCGCAGAGAACAAGCGACUUUAUGCACACGAAACGGAUUCAAAUGAUCCGCUCCAUAUACAAUUAAUAUUCUGAUUAUUUUAUGAAUUCAGUACAAAUAUUUGAAUAAUCUAAAUUAGUCUUUAUACAACUUUCAUGUGCAGAUAGAUACCUUUGAUGACAAGGAAAGGCGCGAAAAGAUUAAGAUUUCUAACCUGACUCAACCUUGGAAAGAUCAAGAAUGUCAUUUAUGAGUUGAAGAACCAAAUCU
This is a non-coding RNA of Arachis ipaensis, 548 nucleotides long. The record is from RefSeq and is a predicted model, not a curated record. NCBI's taxonomy places the organism in Eukaryota, Viridiplantae, Streptophyta, Magnoliopsida, Fabales, Fabaceae.